AGCGUACACGGUGGAUGCCCUGGCAGUCAGAGGCGAUGAAGGGCGUGCUAAUCUGCGAUAAGCGCCGGUAAGGUGAUAUGAACCGUUAUAACCGGCGAUACCCGAAUGGGGAAACCCAGUGUGACUCGUCACACUAUCAUUAACUGAAUCCAUAGGUUAAUGAGGCGAACCGGGGGAACUGAAACAUCUAAGUACCCCGAGGAAAAGAAAUCAACCGAGAUUCCCCCAGUAGCGGCGAGCGAACGGGGAGGAGCCCAGAGCCUGAAUCAGCAUGUGUGUUAGUGGAAGCGUCUGGAAAGGCGCGCGAUACAGGGUGACAGCCCCGUACACAAAAGCGCAUGUGCUGUGAGCUCGAUGAGUAGGGCGGGACACGUGGUAUCCUGUCUGAAUAUGGGGGGACCAUCCUCCAAGGCUAAAUACUCCUGACUGACCGAUAGUGAACCAGUACCGUGAGGGAAAGGCGAAAAGAACCCCGGCGAGGGGAGUGAAAAAGAACCUGAAACCGUGUACGUACAAGCAGUGGGAGCACCCUUUGGGGUGUGACUGCGUACCUUUUGUAUAAUGGGUCAGCGACUUAUAUUCUGUAGCAAGGUUAACCGUAUAGGGGAGCCGGAGGGAAACCGAGUCUUAAUUGGGCGUUAAGUUGCAGGGUAUAGACCCGAAACCCGGUGAUCUAGCCAUGGGCAGGUUGAAGGUUGGGUAACACUAACUGGAGGACCGAACCGACUAAUGUUGAAAAAUUAGCGGAUGACCUGUGGCUGGGGGUGAAAGGCCAAUCAAACCGGGAGAUAGCUGGUUCUCCCCGAAAGCUAUUUAGGUAGCGCCUCGUGAAUUCAUCUCCGGGGGUAGAGCACUGUUUCGGCUAGGGGGCCAUCCCGGCUUACCAACCCGAUGCAAACUGCGAAUACCGGAGAAUGUUAUCACGGGAGACACACGGCGGGUGCUAACGUCCGUCGUGAAGAGGGAAACAACCCAGACCGCCAGCUAAGGUCCCAAAGUCAUGGUUAAGUGGGAAACGAUGUGGGAAGGCCCAGACAGCCAGGAUGUUGGCUUAGAAGCAGCCAUCAUUUAAAGAAAGCGUAAUAGCUCACUGGUCGAGUCGGCCUGCGCGGAAGAUGUAACGGGGCUAAACCAUGCACCGAAGCUGCGGCAGCGACGCUGAUGCGUUGUUGGGUAGGGGAGCGUUCUGUAAGCCUGUGAAGGUGUGUCGUGAGGCAUGCUGGAGGUAUCAGAAGUGCGAAUGCUGACAUAAGUAACGAUAAAGCGGGUGAAAAGCCCGCUCGCCGGAAGACCAAGGGUUCCUGUCCAACGUUAAUCGGGGCAGGGUGAGUCGACCCCUAAGGCGAGGCCGAAAGGCGUAGUCGAUGGGAAACGGGUUAAUAUUCCCGUACUUGGUGUUACUGCGAAGGGGGGACGGAGAAGGCUAUGUUGGCCGGGCGACGGUUGUCCCGGUUUAAGCGUGUAGGCUGGUUUUCCAGGCAAAUCCGGAAAAUCAAGGCUGAGGCGUGACGACGAGGCACUACGGUGCUGAAGCAACAAAUGCCCUGCUUCCAGGAAAAGCCUCUAAGCAUCAGGUAACAUCAAAUCGUACCCCAAACCGACACAGGUGGUCAGGUAGAGAAUACCAAGGCGCUUGAGAGAACUCGGGUGAAGGAACUAGGCAAAAUGGUGCCGUAACUUCGGGAGAAGGCACGCUGACACGUAGGUGAAGUGAUUUACUCAUGGAGCUGAAGUCAGUCGAAGAUACCAGCUGGCUGCAACUGUUUAUUAAAAACACAGCACUGUGCAAACACGAAAGUGGACGUAUACGGUGUGACGCCUGCCCGGUGCCGGAAGGUUAAUUGAUGGGGUCAGCGCAAGCGAAGCUCCUGAUCGAAGCCCCGGUAAACGGCGGCCGUAACUAUAACGGUCCUAAGGUAGCGAAAUUCCUUGUCGGGUAAGUUCCGACCUGCACGAAUGGCGUAAUGAUGGCCAGGCUGUCUCCACCCGAGACUCAGUGAAAUUGAACUCGCUGUGAAGAUGCAGUGUACCCGCGGCAAGACGGAAAGACCCCGUGAACCUUUACUAUAGCUUGACACUGAACAUUGAGCCUUGAUGUGUAGGAUAGGUGGGAGGCUUUGAAGUGUGGACGCCAGUCUGCAUGGAGCCGACCUUGAAAUACCACCCUUUAAUGUUUGAUGUUCUAACGUGGACCCGUUACCCGGGUUGCGGACAGUGUCUGGUGGGUAGUUUGACUGGGGCGGUCUCCUCCUAAAGAGUAACGGAGGAGCACGAAGGUUGGCUAAUCCUGGUCGGACAUCAGGAGGUUAGUGCAAUGGCAUAAGCCAGCUUGACUGCGAGCGUGACGGCGCGAGCAGGUGCGAAAGCAGGUCAUAGUGAUCCGGUGGUUCUGAAUGGAAGGGCCAUCGCUCAACGGAUAAAAGGUACUCCGGGGAUAACAGGCUGAUACCGCCCAAGAGUUCAUAUCGACGGCGGUGUUUGGCACCUCGAUGUCGGCUCAUCACAUCCUGGGGCUGAAGUAGGUCCCAAGGGUAUGGCUGUUCGCCAUUUAAAGUGGUACGCGAGCUGGGUUUAGAACGUCGUGAGACAGUUCGGUCCCUAUCUGCCGUGGGCGCUGGAGAACUGAGGGGGGCUGCUCCUAGUACGAGAGGACCGGAGUGGACGCAUCACUGGUGUUCGGGUUGUCAUGCCAAUGGCACUGCCCGGUAGCUAAAUGCGGAAGAGAUAAGUGCUGAAAGCAUCUAAGCACGAAACUUGCCCCGAGAUGAGUUCU
This 2773-nucleotide ribosomal RNA is filed under the name Salmonella enterica subsp. enterica serovar Hadar. RNAcentral describes it as "bacterial LSU rRNA". It matches the Rfam family "Bacterial large subunit ribosomal RNA". The record is from RNAcentral. Lineage: Bacteria; Pseudomonadati; Pseudomonadota; Gammaproteobacteria; Enterobacterales; Enterobacteriaceae.